CCCCCACCCUCAUUUUCUUCUUCCGGGUCGCGAGCAAAACUCUCCAAACCCUAUCUCUUUUGUUUCUCUUCUCACUAUAUACAAACUAUUGCUCUCUCUUGAAGAUUCGAAAGACGAGGUCGCGAAGCUUAGGAAAGGAAAGGCUCCAUUAGGUGACAGUUAGAGGAUUGCUUUAUCAAGUGGAAAACGAGUUGAGCUAAGCAAGAGGAAGAUGGCCAAAUCUAGGUGCUCAGUUCGUUAGACUGUCUACAUCCCCCUUUCUGUUUCGUUAGAUUACUUUACCAGCUCAGGUAGAGGACGCUUUGGAUAGUCAGUGGGGAGUAAGUAUGUUAGUAUGGACCGUUGUAAACAGUACCUUUGAGAUGUUUUAUAUAAUUCCAAGUCGGAAUUAUGGUUGAUGCUAUUUAUUAAGGGUUUGUAAUAAGUUUAUAACUUAUUAUUUUGGUUAGUAGUUGUAACUUGUUUCAUACCA
Daucus carota subsp. sativus is the source of this 472-nucleotide long non-coding RNA. RefSeq lists it as uncharacterized. The transcript has 3 exons. The record is from RefSeq and is a predicted model, not a curated record. Lineage: Eukaryota; Viridiplantae; Streptophyta; Magnoliopsida; Apiales; Apiaceae.